RNAcentral lists this ribosomal RNA (401 nucleotides) under uncultured bacterium. Its description in RNAcentral is "bacterial SSU rRNA". It matches the Rfam family "Bacterial small subunit ribosomal RNA", at positions 356 to 773 of the family's 1533-position model. The record is from RNAcentral.
GGGGAAUCUUGCGCAAUGGGCGAAAGCCUGACGCAGCAACGCCGCGUGCGGGAUGAAGGCCUUCGGGUUGUAAACCGCUUUCAGCAGGGACGAAAUUGACGGUACCUGCAGAAGAAGCCCCGGCCAACUACGUGCCAGCAGCCGCGGUAACACGUAGGGGGCGAGCGUUGUCCGGAUUUAUUGGGCGUAAAGAGCUCGUAGGCGGUUCUGUAAGUCGGGUGUGAAAACUCUGGGCUCAACCCAGAGACGCCACUCGAUACUGCGGUGACUAGAGUCCGGUAGGGGAGUGUGGAAUUCCUGGUGUAGCGGUGAAAUGCGCAGAUAUCAGGAGGAACACCAACGGCGAAGGCAGCACUCUGGGCCGGUACUGACGCUGAGGAGCGAAAGCGUGGGGAGCGAAC